Molecule: ribosomal RNA, 553 nt
Filed under: Puerulus angulatus
Lineage: Eukaryota; Metazoa; Arthropoda; Malacostraca; Decapoda; Palinuridae
Description: partial 12S ribosomal RNA
Source: RNAcentral
ACUUAAGGGUCAAGUAAAAAUAAAUAAGUUGUCUAGUUAAAUUGUGAUGAGUUCGCGGUGUGUCCUCACUUUACCAAAAGGUGAAAUUUAUUGGGUAAUGCGUUACGUGGGGUGUACCGAGAGUUUAUUCUUAUUGAGGCUAGGAAGGUUUGGGUAUGAACUAGGAUUAGACACCCUAUUACACCAAAAGUAAAUACAGAUGGCUAGAGUAGUAAAAAUUAAUUUGUUCAAAAUUCAAAGAAUUUGGCGGUAUUUUAGUCUAGUUAGAGGAACCUGUUUUAUAAACGAUAAUCCACGUAAAAUCUUUCUUGUUCUUGCUAAAAGUUAGUAUACCUUCAUUAUUAGAUAAUUUGUUGAUAAAAAUUGUUGGAAUUAAACAAGUUUAAGUAUAUUAGAUCACGGUGCUGCUUAUGAAUAAGUAAAAAUGGGUUACAAUGGAAAUUUAUCUAUGACGGAUAAAAAAGAGAAUCUCUUUUUCUGAAGGCGGAUUUAAUUGUAAUUUUAAGUUUAAUAAGCUUGAAUGAUAUUAGCUCUAAAAUGUGUACACAUCGCC